CUCCGGUUGAUCCCGCCGGACCCGACUGCUAUCAGAGUGGGACUAAGCCAUGCUGAGUCGACGUAGCAAUGCGUGGCGAACGGCUCAGUAACACGUAGUCAACAUGCCCAGGGGACGUGGAUAACCUCGGGAAACUGAGAAUAAACCACGAUAGGUCACGAUUUCUGGAAUGGAUCAUGGCCUAAAUCUACAUGGCCCCUGGAUUGGACUGCGGCCGAUCAGGCUGUUGGUGAGGUAAUGGCCCACCAAACCUAUAACCGGUACGGGCUCUGAGAGGAGAAGCCCGGAGAUGGGCACUGAGACAAGGGCCCAGGCCCUAUGGGGCGCAGCAGGCGCGAAACCUCUGCAAUAGGCGAAAGCCUGACAGGGUUACUCUGAGUGAUUUCCGCUAAGGGGAUCUUUUGGCACCUCUAAAAAUGGUGCAGAAUAAGGGGUGGGCAAGUCUGGUGUCAGCCGCCGCGGUAAUACCAGCACCCCGAGUGGUCGGGACGAUUAUUGGGCCUAAAGCAUCCGUAGCCGGUUCUACAAGUCUUCCGUUAAAUCCAGCCGCUCAACGGAUGGGCCGCGGAGGAUACUACAGGACUAGGAGGCGGGAGAGGCAAGCGGUACUCAGUGGGUAGGGGUAAAAUCCUUUGAUCCAUUGAAGACCACCAGUGGCGAAGGCGGCUUGCCAGAACGCGCUCGACGGUGAGGGAUGAAAGCUGGGGGAGCAAACCGGAUUAGAUACCCGGGUAGUCCCAGCUGUAAACGAUGCAGACUCGGUGAUGGGCUAGCCUUGUGCCAGCCCAGUGCCGCAGGGAAGCCGUUAAGUCUGCCGCCUGGGGAGUACGGUCGCAAGACUGAAACUCAAAGGAAUUGGCGGGGGAGCA
Molecule: ribosomal RNA, 869 nt
Filed under: uncultured archaeon
Lineage: Archaea
Description: bacterial SSU rRNA
Rfam family: Archaeal small subunit ribosomal RNA
Source: RNAcentral